UGUUGCCCUACCUUUUCUGGGUGAUGAUCUCAGAACUUGAUGAUGAUCUCAGAAGACAAGUAGGCAGACAGACAG
RNAcentral lists this microRNA precursor (75 nucleotides) under Erinaceus europaeus (western European hedgehog). Its description in RNAcentral is "miRNA (ENSEEUG00000023872.1)". Lineage: Eukaryota; Metazoa; Chordata; Mammalia; Eulipotyphla; Erinaceidae. The record is from RNAcentral.